This 7399-nucleotide long non-coding RNA is filed under the name Triticum aestivum (bread wheat). Its description in RNAcentral is "long non-coding RNA (TAES_LNC006694)". The record is from RNAcentral. Lineage: Eukaryota; Viridiplantae; Streptophyta; Magnoliopsida; Poales; Poaceae.
ACGGUGGAGGACUCGGUGGUGGUGCCGGUGGCGGGUAUGGCAAUGGUGGUGGUCUCGGAAAUGGCGGCGGGCUCGGAGGCGGCAUCAGCCAUGGACUCGGUGGUGGCAUCGGAAAGGGUGGGGGUCUCGGUGGCGGCUUUGGCAAAGGUGCUGGACUAGGCGGCGGCUUUGGCGGUGGAGGCGGCGGAGGUGGUGGUGGCGGUGGUGGCGGCGGAGGCUUUGGCAAGGGAGGUGGGUUUGGUUUCGGGAUCGGCAAAGGUGGCGGUGGCGGGAUCGGCGGCGGCCACUGAUGUUGUAGUAUGUACGUUUGGCUCAGCUCUGUUCUGCUGAGCGCCGUUGGUCAUCAUAGUAUUCUGUCGAUGUGAGCAGUACGUGUGAUGAAAGAGAUUUUCCCUUGUAGAAACUCACCCCCAGCAUUUUCGUGUGUCUCGUUCUGCUCUCUGUGGGAGAGAUAUUCUCGCGCAUGUACGUUGGUGAUGGUAAUAUAUGAGUAUCUUGCAUUACUUGGUCCAUGCCAGUGUUUGUUCCAGUGAUUUGAAAUAUAAAUUAGGUACAAGUAAAUACGAAGUGUUCAAACUUCAGAAGCUACCUUCAAGUGUUCAAAGUUCAGGAUGUUCAAAACAGAGCAAGCAUAGCAAAGCAGAGGAACGACAUGCAACGCAAAAGCUUUCGGCAGCUGCUCAACCGGCUGACGGCCUAAGAUCUUUGCUCACUCAGUGUCCAGACUCCAGAACUCCAGAUUAUGUGUAGUUUGCGCCUAAGAGUGCUCAACAUGUAAACAGUGUUUAAUCACUGUAAACCAAACUUGGGCACGUGUUCUUCGGCAUAAAGUGCAGUGCGAGGGUGGAUGGGCGGCAAAGCUAUGGAAAAUCUGUACUUUACUGCAUCGUUCUGCCCGUCUCUUUGCGUUCUUAUUUCUUUUCUGUUGUAGUGCAGCAUGUAUCUUGUACCAGUAACUGUUUCGGGUUGCUGACUAGCUGGUGUUUGAAUUUGGUCCUUCUUGAGUAGGUCAUUUUGAAGACCGAACUUCAUUGAAGUCUUUAUUUUGAAACAUUUGAAAUUCAAAAUUUUCAGUUUCAAAUAAUAAAAGUAAAUACACAUGUAUGCAAGGAUGUAAUGUGUAUGUGUGAAAUUUUUUAGGAUGAAAUACCUUGAAUUGCGAGCUGCAAAAAAAAAUUCAUAAACUUUAAGGAUGAACAGUACGUAUGCUAAAAAGCCUCAGAUUUGUCCUUUUUGUGUAGUUCUCAUUUUAAUGAAUUCUGACCUGAAACAGAUGAUUUUCUUUUAGAAUUUUUUGAAAUGCAAAGUUUGAAUUUUGAACAUUUCAAAUUAAGGCCUCCAUGAAGCUCGGUCUCCGUUUGGCAUUUUUUGCUUCUGCUUGUGUUUUUUCUUUAAUAGUAUAAAAAUAUACACGCGAUCCUGAUACUUUAGACCCGCGGUGAUUAUAUGGUUACGGUUCACCUAUAGCUAACACUAAAAAAAAGGUAAUACGUGGCACUCAAUUAACUUGUCAAACCGUCCACAUGAUGGUGCCUGCCAAUAAGAAAAAUAAUAAUAAUGGAAAUAUACAAUUUUAACACAGUACAGAUGCAGACGCUCAUACAUACACACAUACAGUCAUCCCUAUGAACAUAUGCACACAUACCCUACGCCUAUGAGCACCUCCAAGAGAUUGAGUCGGCACAUUAUCUUCAGACAGUGGCGAAGCCACACUUGGGCUGGGUAGUCAAAUGACUACCCAACUUUUUGCAAAAACUACAUGCAUCAAGUAGAAAUCAUGCCAAAAAAUCUUAUAAAUGCAUAUAUCUGACUACACAACAUUCAAUUGACUACACACGGUUGGAUUCCUGGCACCGCCACUGUCUUCAGAUUGAUGAAGUCGUCACAAACAUCUUCGUAGUCGAUUCGAAUGUCUCCUCCCACUGAACGCAUAUCGCAAGAAGGCCUGAAAUAAAUCUAGGACACUGUGAGCAGCAAUGUCAAGUCUAGGACUUGAACUAUAUGGACUGGGAUACUACUUACCACCUAACCAUUCGACCACUUGUUGGUUCGCAAGAAAUACAAUUUUACACCGGUGAGGAAAGACAUAUUAUAUAUACUCUCGACACUAAUUUUUACUAGUAGAAUGCCCGUGCGUUGCUAUGGGCUGCAAUGCUUUUAGGAAUCAUCUCUGGUCUGAACUCCUAAUCUAAUUAUGCCCCUCAAUCUAGUAUGUUACACCUAUUGCUUUUUUAAAUGUACUUUUUUGUUAUUUUGGUUGUUGGUAUACCAUGAAGAAAGUUUGAGCUACAAAAUAAAAUUCACUACCCGGACAUGCAAGACAUUGGUAUAAAGAAUGAUUGUUUACAUAAUUUUUGGCUGACACACAUAUCCAUUUAAAAAAAUAACAAUAUUUAUAUAUAAAAAAUCCGAGAGUUUGUACAAUUCGUGAAUGUAUGCGGUUAGCAUGUAAUCGUAAAAAAAGGUCUAUAGGAAGCUCGCUUUGGGCUGUCAGGGUGGUGGCAGCUGGGUUGAUCCAUCUAUGCUCAUUCGUCCGUCUGCUACAACACUCGUCUCAUGACGUAAAUCAUGCAUGGACAUGAAGAUGAUGGUAUGAGGGACAUCGAUCAUGUGAAGACUCUUCCUGUAACUGCCACUGGACCAGACCGACCCUGAGGCGCGCUCCUUGGGCACCUCCACUUAGGACGCACGGCGGCGACCGGAUCAACCCUGCGGCGUGUCGUUAUUACAAAGGAUGUCAGCCCAGCAGUGCAAUAUGCUGCAGAUCAUCAUUGAGGGGGAGGGGUUCGUAAGGAGGACGAUCUUUUUUUCUCUCUAAUUUUUGGGUUUUGCGAAGCAAGGGAGGUGGAUUUUCUUGUGCGUAUGAGGAGGUGGUGGUGGANNNNNNNNNNNNNNNNNNNNNNNNNNNNNNNNNNNNNNNNNNNNNNNNNNNNNNNNNNNNNNNNNNNNNNNNNNNNNNNNNNNNNNNNNNNNNNNNNNNNNNNNNNNNNNNNNNNNNNNNNNNNNNNNNNNNNNNNNNNNNNNNNNNNNNNNNNNNNNCCAUGUAUAGUACCCCAUGUUCAAUUUAAUAGUAGAGACAUGGCUGCAAAAACUUCCUAUUAAUAGUUAUGUGCAUCCCUAAUUUAGUAUCUGACUAAUUAAUUAAUUUCAUUAGCAACUCGAUUCUAAAAUUAAUUUGUCACAAAAAAUACCUACAUAAAUGGACUUAAUUAAUUACAUACGUAAAUAAUUAUCUAGCUAAUUAAUUGCAUUAUGACUUGAUUCCCAAACUGAUUUAGUGAUUGGUUUCCAAAUUAUUAUUUUUUCUUUUUGCUUGAGGCAUGGGAGGUGGCUUUUCUUGUACCUGUGCGGAGGCGGGAGCGGAUGGGUUUUUUCGUAAGGGGGUCUAGGGUUUAAUAGUAAUGACAAAUUUGAAAAAACUUCCUACUAUUAAUUAUCUGCAUCCCUAAUUAUAUGUCUAGUUAAUUAUCUAAUUACAUUAAUGGCUUGAUUUCCUACUUAAUUUCGUGAAAAAGUCCAUGCAUAAACAUACAUAAUUAAUUGCAUGCGUAAUUAAUUGCAUUAAUGGCUUGAUUUCCAAAUUGAUUCGGUGCUUGGUUUCCAAAUGGUUUUGCAUUAUUGACUAGUGAUACCUUUCAUAAUUAAUGUGAUCCUCCCAUUUAAGGCUCGAUAAUACUUUCUAUAGUUAAUGUGAUACUCAUGUCCAAAGAACAAUACUCUUCAUAAUUAAUGUGAUCCUUCCGUUCACCGCUCGAUGAUACUUUUUAUAAUUACCGUGAUUCUCCUCUCCAAAUAAUAAUACUCUUUAUAAUUAAAGUGAUCCUACUUUCAAACGCUUGUUAAUAUUUUCCAUAAUUAACAUGAUCCUCUUGUCAAAUGAUACUCUUCAUAAUUAAUGUGAUCUUUCUGUCCAAAGAAUGAUACUUUUCAUAUUAGUAUGAUCCUCCCGUCCAAAGCUCGAUUAUACUUUCCAAAUUAAAUAGGCAUAUUAACUGUCUGCCUAAUUAACACACAUAAUUAACCGGUCUGGCUAAUUUUUUUUGAUAGAAAGACUGUAAGGGAACCCCUAGAGUAUAAUUGGUGCAACAAAUCCAAAUUGCAAGUACCAUGCCUUGAAUAUGGGUGGGUGGAAAGGCAUCAGCCCCUUCCCACCACUAGGCUAUGCCUUAGUCUGCUAAUUAAUUGCAAGCAAGUGUGGGCAAAGCAGGAAUUGGACAAGAGAUAAAUGGGAUGAAUUUUGGGCAUUAAGUGAAGCGUGCGAAGUCGAACCAAACCAAAUGAUGUACGAACCUACCAUCAUGACCGCGAACUCUCCCUUUAGGAGUAGUGACUAGUAGAAUGCCCGUACGUUGCUAUGGGCUACAAUGCAUAUACUUUGGGAAGCAUCUCUGGUCUAAACUCCUAAUCCGGUAAUGCCCCUCAAUCUAGUAUGUUACACCCACUACUUUUUAAAAUUUACUCCUUUGUUAUUUUGGUUGUUGGUAUAUGAUGAAGAAAAUUUUGAGCUACGAAAUAAAAUUCACUAAUUAGACAUGCAAGACAUUGGUAUAAAGAAUGAUUGCUUACAUAAUUUUUGGAACAUGUGUUGACACACAUAUCCAUUUAAAAAAGAACAAUAUUUAUGUUUAAAAAAUUCGAAAGUGUGCACAAUUCAUGAAUGUAUGCGGUUAACAUGUAAUUGUGAAAUAAAAAAAGGUUUAUAGGAAGCUCGCUUUGUGCUCUCAGGGUGGCGGCGGCUGGGUUGAUCCAUCUAUGCUCGUCCAGCCAUCUGCUGUGUUACUACUCCCAUGAUGUAAAUAAUGCAUGGAUAUGAAGAUGAUGGUACGAGGGUUAUCAAUCAUGUGAAGACUCUUCCCGCAACUUCUUCUAGACCGGACCGACCCUAGGCAUGCUCCUUGGGCACCUCCUUUGAGGACGCAUGACAGCGACCAAAUCAACCCUGUGACGUGUUGUUGUUUCAAAGGAUGUCAGCCCGAUAGUGCAAUAGGCAGCGAAUCAUCAUUGAGGGGGACCGGUUCGGAAGGAGGACGACCUUUUUUUUGCGUGAUGCAACUAUGCAAGGGAGGUGGGCUUUCUGGUGCGUAUUAGGAGGUGGUGGUUGAUGGGUUUUUCGUGGAGUGGGGGGUCAAGGGGAGUUGUGUUGGACGUACCACGUAUAGUACCCAACUCCCAUUUAAUAGUAGAGACAUGGCUGAAAAAACUUCGGAUUAUUAGUUAUGUGCAUCCCUAAUUAAGUGUCUGACUAAUUAAUUAAUUGCAUUAACAGCUCGAUUCUAAAAUUGAUUUGUCAAAAAAUACCUACUUAAAUAGACUUAAUUAAUUGCACAUGUAAAUAAUUACUUGGCUAAUUAAUUGCAUUAUGACUUGAUUCCCAAACUAAUUUGGUGACUGGUUUCCAAAUUAGUAUUAUUAUUAUUUCUUUUUUCUUGAGGCAAGGGAGGUGGGUUUUCUUGUGCGUAUGAAGAGGUGGUGGCAAAUGGGUUUAUAGUAGGCGGGAUCAAGGGGAGUUGAGUUGGACAUACCACGUAUAGUCCCCAAUUCCCAUUUAAUAGUAGAGACAUGGUUGAAAAAACUUUCUAUUGUUAGUUAUGUGCAUCCCUAAUUAAGUGUCUGACCAAUUAAUUAACUGCAUUAAUGUCUCAGUUCUCAACUUGAUUUGUCACAAAAAAUACCUACUUAAACAGACUUAACUAAUUGCACAUCUAAUUAAUUAGCUGGCUAAUUAAUUGCAUUAUGACUUGAUUUGCAACUGAUUUAGUGAUUGGUUUCCAAAUAAUUAUUUUUCUUUUUUCUUGAGGCAAGGGAGGUGGGUUUUCUUGUGCGCGUGGGGAGGUGGGAGCGGAUGGGUUUUUUCAUAAGGGGAUUUAGGGUUUAAUAGCAAUGAUAAAUUUGAAAGAACUUCCUACUAUUAAUUAUUUGUAUCCCUAAUUAUGUGUCUUGCUAAUUAAUUAAUUACAUUAAUGGCUUGAUUUCAUACAUAAUCUGGUGCAAAGAAUCCAUUCUUAAACAGACAUAAUUAAUUGCAUUAAUGGCUUGAUUUCCAAAUUGAUUUGAUGCUUGGUUUCCAAAUUGGUUUGCAUUAUUGACUAGUGAUGCCUUCCAUAAUUAAUGUGAAUUUCCCAUUUAAGGCUCGAUAAUGCUUUCCAUAGUUAAUGUGAUACUCGUGCCCAAAGAACAAUACUCUUCGUAAUUAACGUGAACCUUUUGUUCAAUACUCGAUGAUACUUUUUAUAAUUAUCGUGCUAUACAAAUAAUAAUACACUUUAUAAUUAAAGUGAUCCUACUUUCAAACGCUCGACAAUGUUUUCCAUAGUUAGCAUGAUCCUCUUGUCCAAAUAAUGGGGUUCUUUUUCCCAAAGAAUGAUACUCUUCAUAUCAGUAUGGUCCUUCCAUCCAAUGCUCAAUUAUACUUUUCAAACUAAAUAGCCAUAUUAACUGUCUGCCUAAUUAACACACAUCAUUAAUCGAUCUUGCUAAAUAACUGCAUGCAAGUAUGGGCAUAUCAGGAAUUGGGCAUGAGAUAAAUGAUAUGAAUUUUGGGCAUUAAUGGAUGUGUGUGAAAUCAAGCCAAACCAAACGAUGUAUGAACCUACCAUCAUGACCGCGAACUCCCCCUUUAGGAGUUGAGACUAGUAGAAUGCCUGUGCGUUGCUAUGGGCUACAAUGCAUAUACUUAAGGAAGCAUCUCUGGUCUGAACUCCGAAACCAGUUAUGCCCCUCAAUCUAUUAUGUUACAUGUACUACUUUUUUUAAAUGUACUCUUUUGUUAUUUUUGUUGUUAAUAUAUCAGGAAAAAAAUUUGAGCCAAUUUUUUCCCGUUAAUUAGACAUGCAUGACGUUGGUAUCAAGAAAGAUUGCUUCCAUAAGUUUUGGAACGUGUGCUGAUACACAUAUCUACUUAAAAAAGAACAAGAUUUAUAUUAACAAAAAUCUGAGAGCUUGCACAAUUCAUGAAUGCAUGCGAUUAACAUGUAAAUGUGAAAGGAAAAAGGUCUAUAGGAAGCUCGCUUUGUGCUCUCAUGGUGGUGGUGGCUGGGUUGAUCCAUCUAUGUUCGUCUGGUUGUCUGCUGCAGCACUCGUCCCAUGAUGUAAAUAAUGCUUGGAUGGGAAGAUGAUGGUACGAGGGACAUCUAUCAUGUGAAGACUAUUCCUAUAAUUGCCUCUCGGCCAGACCGACCCUCAAGCAUGCUCCUUGGGCACCUCCUCUGAGUGCGCAUGGCGGAGACCGGAUUAACCCUGAGGCGUGUCGUUGUUUCAGAGGAUGUUAACCCGACAGUGUGGUAAGCAGCAGAUCAUCGUUGAGGGGGAGGGGUUUGGGAGGAGGAUGUUCUAUUCCUCAUUUUUUUUGUGUUAGGCAAGGGAGGUGGGUUUUCUUGUGCGUAUGAGGAGGUGGUGGCGG